GGUAAGCCCCGAAAGGUCCAAAGUCCAAUUAACACCAAUCAAGCCCCCACCUUCGUAGAAGUCUGGCUUUUUGCCGAAAAAGUAAUUUUCAACCACAGUCAAUCGGCGUGCUGUAAGGCAAACACAAACAAUCACAACAAUUCAAACUGCUUAACGAAGUUUCAGCAGUUUAUGGAACAGGUUAAGCAACAAAGUUUGCCCCCUCACUGUUUCCAUCACCGUCAAAGCCGCAUUAUGCUGAAAUGGCUACUUUGGAGCAGAACAACUUGUAAUCAAGUUUUCAACGUGCUUUCACCACAAGCGAGGCAAGAAAUCUUAUCACAAACACUCGCCACAUACCUCAAGGGGGGUUAAAUGGGGCAUUACCCCUUAACGACCAUGUUUUGGUUCGUGGUGGAAUGGUGCCCGUAAAACGAUAAAUGUCCCUCGUCAGAUCAUCAAUCUCCGGGAGUCACUCACAAUGGUCGUCGUCGUUGGGUGGGGGGGAGGCACGUCAUAAGUUGAAACCCCCGUUUUAACGAGUUAGUUCUCCGUGGCCAAAGUUUCACGUUCAAUUUAUAACACGCAAAAGUUUUGCUCGGACGGCAACGACGUGAUUUAUCUCGGCAGUAGCUUUUUAGUAAGGGUGAAACGUGAUUACGAAAAGCUUCCAAAAAGUUGAAAUCAUAAAAAGAAAAAAGAAAAAACAAAAAACAAAAAACAAAAAACAAAAAACAAAAAACAAAAAACAAAA
Long non-coding RNA from Culex quinquefasciatus (southern house mosquito), 733 nucleotides. RefSeq lists it as uncharacterized. The record is from RefSeq and is a predicted model, not a curated record. The transcript is spliced from 3 exons. Lineage: Eukaryota; Metazoa; Arthropoda; Insecta; Diptera; Culicidae.